Molecule: unclassified non-coding RNA, 200 nt
Filed under: soil metagenome
Description: partial contains internal transcribed spacer 2 and large subunit ribosomal RNA
Source: RNAcentral
GGAUCUGAGGGUUUUGUCGGUCCCUAGUGGUCGACUCCCUUUAAAAUCAUUAGCGGAUUUUGCCAUCGUGGAUACGCCUCGAUUUGAUAAUAUCUAUGUCGUCGCGCUGAAGCGGUAAUCUGCUCAUAACCGUCCUAAUUGUUGGACAAUUUUAUUGACUAUUUGACCUCAAAUCAGGUAGGACUACCCGCUGAACUUAA